RNAcentral lists this ribosomal RNA (411 nucleotides) under uncultured prokaryote. Its description in RNAcentral is "bacterial SSU rRNA". It matches the Rfam family "Bacterial small subunit ribosomal RNA", at positions 505 to 918 of the family's 1533-position model. The record is from RNAcentral.
GUGUCAGCAGCCGCGGUAAUACGGAGGAUGCGAGCGUUAUCCGGAUUUAUUGGGUUUAAAGGGUGCGUAGGCGGAUUAAUAAGUCAGUGGUGAAAACCUGCAGCUUAACUGUAGAAUUGCCAUUGAUACUGUUAGUCUUGAGUACGGUCAAGGUAGGCGGAAUGUGUAAUGUAGCGGUGAAAUGCUUAGAUAUUACACAGAACACCGAUUGCGAAGGCAGCUUACUGGGCCAUUACUGACGCUGAGGCACGAAAGCGUGGGGAGCGAACAGGAUUAGAUACCCUGGUAGUCCACGCCGUAAACGAUGAUCACUCGCUGUUGGCGAUACACAGUCAGCGGCUAAGCAAAAGCAUUAAGUGAUCCACCUGGGGAGUACGGCCGCAAGGCUGAAACUUAAAGGAAUUGACGGGG